CGAACGUCAGGAAAGGUCGGUUGGUUCGCAGUGUGGCCAAACGGCCCAAUUAGCACAAGGCGAAGGGCCUCUGAACCCGGAUUGGCACCGUCUCUGCCUAUAGAGAGAGGGGGCGGGCCUGGGGGCGCUGAGGCCCCGCCCCGGAUGUGGGCAUGGCCCGAGCUGGAGCCCGGAGCCGCCGCCGCGCUGCCCCGGCGAGGCGGAACUGAGAUCUCUCUCUUGGUUAUCAUGUGACGGGCUCUGGAUUUAAUGGAGGAGAAAGGGUGGAAAAGGCCGAGGAUCCAAACUGGCGAGCUUUCUGGUCUCCGCGGCCCUCCCCGCUCUCCGGCCGGCGGCGCUGCCAGCCUCCUAUGCCACCAUGGCAGCCUUUGGUCAGGAAAGGAGACCUGGAGAAAAUGCCUUCCUGGGAGCAAAAGCCUCCGCUUUUCAUACUGCAGUAUGAAGCAUCCCGAUCUGCCAGCUAAGGUAUAUUUCCCUUUUUUCGACUCUGCAAC
Molecule: long non-coding RNA, 494 nt
Filed under: Canis lupus dingo (dingo)
Lineage: Eukaryota; Metazoa; Chordata; Mammalia; Carnivora; Canidae
Description: lncRNA (ENSCAFG00020022588.1)
Source: RNAcentral